This 448-nucleotide ribosomal RNA is filed under the name uncultured bacterium. RNAcentral describes it as "partial 16S ribosomal RNA". It matches the Rfam family "Bacterial small subunit ribosomal RNA", at positions 330 to 795 of the family's 1533-position model. The record is from RNAcentral.
UCCAGACUCCUACGGGAGGCAGCAGUGGGGAAUAUUGCACAAUGGGGGAAACCCUGAUGCAGCGACGCCGCGUGAGUGAAGAAGUAUUUCGGUAUGUAAAGCUCUAUCAGCAGGAAAGAAAAUGACGGUACCUGACUAAGAAGCCCCGGCUAACUACGUGCCAGCAGCCGCGGUAAUACGUAGGGGGCAAGCGUUAUCCGGAUUUACUGGGUGUAAAGGGAGCGUAGACGGUGAAGCAAGUCUGAAGUGAAAGGCGGGGGCUCAACCCCCGGACUGCUUUGGAAACUGUUUGACUGGAGUGCAGGAGAGGUAAGUGGAAUUCCUAGUGUAGCGGUGAAAUGCGUAGAUAUUAGGAGGAACACCAGUGGCGAAGGCGGCUUACUGGACUGUAACUGACACUGAUGCUCGAAAGUGUGGGUAUCAAACAGGAUUAGAUACCCCGGUACUC